GAUGAACGCUGGCGGCGUGCCUAAUACAUGCAAGUCGAGCGAACAGACGAGGAGCUUGCUCCUCUGACGUUAGCGGCGGACGGGUGAGUAACACGUGGAUAACCUACCUAUAAGACUGGGAUAACUUCGGGAAACCGGAGCUAAUACCGGAUAAUAUCUUGAACCGCAUGGUUCAAUAGUGAAAGACGGUUUUGCUGUCACUUAUAGAUGGAUCCGCGCCGCAUUAGCUAGUUGGUAAGGUAACGGCUUACCAAGGCAACGAUGCGUAGCCGACCUGAGAGGGUGAUCGGCCACACUGGAACUGAGACACGGUCCAGACUCCUACGGGAGGCAGCAGUAGGGAAUCUUCCGCAAUGGGCGAAAGCCUGGCGGAGCAACGCCGCGUGAGUGAUAAAGGUCUUCGGAUCGUAAAACUCUGUUAUUAGGGAAGAACAAAUGUGUAAGUAACUAUGCACGUCUUGACGGUACCUAAUCAGAAAGCCACGGCUAACUACGUG
Molecule: ribosomal RNA, 497 nt
Filed under: uncultured bacterium
Lineage: Bacteria
Description: partial 16S ribosomal RNA
Rfam family: Bacterial small subunit ribosomal RNA
Source: RNAcentral